AUCACUUCUCGGCCUUUUGGCUAAGAUCAAGUGUAAAAUUGGUUUUUAUUAAAGAUUAAGAGUUUAGAAUAAGUUAAGUAAUAUUCAACCAAUUCAAUUGACAUUAAUUUAAAUCACUCUUU
This is a small nuclear RNA of Heterocephalus glaber (naked mole-rat), 122 nucleotides long. Its record names the gene U2. It matches the Rfam family "U2 spliceosomal RNA". From Rfam's summary of the family: U2 is a small nuclear RNA (snRNA) component of the spliceosome (involved in pre-mRNA splicing). Complementary binding between U2 snRNA (in an area lying towards the 5' end but 3' to hairpin I) and the branchpoint sequence (BPS) of the intron results the bulging out of an unpaired adenosine, on the BPS, which initiates a nucleophilic attack at the intronic 5' splice site, thus starting the first of two transesterification reactions that mediate splicing. Lineage: Eukaryota; Metazoa; Chordata; Mammalia; Rodentia; Bathyergidae. The record is from Ensembl.